CCUUGAAGUGUUUUGGACCAUGUUCUUAGUCACUGUGCAUCAUGAAAUGGCAGGAGAUGGUUGCAAACGUUGUUAGAUUCAGGAUGGUAGGGCUGCACGCUUGCUUUGCAGUGUUUUAGAAAGUCCUGUUCACCAGGAAGACGAUGGAGUCCAGCCAGACACCAGCCAGGAGGAAGCAGGAAGGUACCUGGACAAGCUGCUGUGGGAAACCAGGCAGGAAAUAAGCCCACAGCCAGAAAUGUGGCUGCAAGCAGCACAUCCACAGAUCUCCAGCAGCAGAUAAGUUGCUUUGCCCAGGGAAGUUACUUUGCUGCAAUCUAA
RNAcentral lists this long non-coding RNA (321 nucleotides) under Anas platyrhynchos platyrhynchos (common mallard). RNAcentral's name for it is "lncRNA (ENSAPLG00000019172.1)". The record is from RNAcentral. Lineage: Eukaryota; Metazoa; Chordata; Aves; Anseriformes; Anatidae.